RNAcentral lists this ribosomal RNA (393 nucleotides) under Triticum aestivum (bread wheat). RNAcentral describes it as "partial small subunit ribosomal RNA". The record is from RNAcentral. Lineage: Eukaryota; Viridiplantae; Streptophyta; Magnoliopsida; Poales; Poaceae.
AUGGAUUUGAAUGAAACUCUGGUUGUUUGUUAUCCUGUGAAGAGUGUAGGUUCACAUGUUGAAGACUUAUCUACACUACUAUUAAACAAGAGAACAUCGUCAGGGGCGGACGAAAACUCUGCCAUCCGGCGUCCCACACCGCGCCUGUUCACGGCUAAAAUUACGGGCCUGCUCCCCAGUCCCCGCAUCUUCUCCUGGAAAAAAAAGGAAGUACUACGCGCCUGUAGCCCGCAUCUCUCGCGAAGUCCGCCCAACCCGCCGCCGCCGCCGCCGCCCCGCCCGGUGCAUGCCAUCCCCGCCGCUCCUCCUACACGCCGCCGCCGCACACCUCUAGACGCCGGGCCGUGUAUCGCGGGUCAUCGUCUGCUCCUCCUCUGCGGUCUCGCCUCAUAG